AACGCACAUUGCGCCCGUCAGUAUUCUGGCGGGCAUGCCUGUUCGAGCGUCAUUAUUGCCAUCAAGCCCUGUGCUUGUGUUGGGGUUCUGCGGCUGCCGCAGUCCCCUAAAAGCAGUGGCGGACUCGCUGUCAUACUGAGCGCAGUAACAUAUCUCGCUCUGGGCGUGGCAGUGAGCACUGGCCAUUAAAAUACUCCACGUAGGGUUGACCUCGGAUCAGGUAGGAAUACCCGCUGAACUUAA
RNAcentral lists this unclassified non-coding RNA (243 nucleotides) under uncultured Ascomycota. RNAcentral describes it as "sequence contains 5.8S rRNA gene, ITS2, 28S rRNA gene". The record is from RNAcentral. Lineage: Eukaryota; Fungi; Ascomycota.